GUUUCAGCCGCCGCGGUAAUACGAAGGGGGCUAGCGUUGUUCGGAUUUACUGGGCGUAAAGCGCGUGUAGGCGGGUCGUUAAGUUGGGGGUGAAAUCCCGAGGCUCAACCUCGGAACUGCCUUCAAAACUGGCGACCUGGACUCAAGCAGAGGCAAGUGGAAUUGCGAGUGUAGAGGUGAAAUUCGUAGAUAUUCGCAGGAACACCAGUGGCGAAGGCGACUUGCUGGGCUUGUGGUGACGCUGAGACGCGAAAGCGUGGGGAGCAAACAGGAUUAGAAACCCCCGUAGUCC
Molecule: ribosomal RNA, 292 nt
Filed under: uncultured bacterium
Lineage: Bacteria
Description: partial 16S ribosomal RNA
Rfam family: Bacterial small subunit ribosomal RNA
Source: RNAcentral